ACUCCUACGGGAGGCAGCAGUAGGGAAUCUUCCACAAUGGGCGCAAGCCUGAUGGAGCAACACCGCGUGAGUGAAGAAGGGUUUCGGCUCGUAAAGCUCUGUUGUUAAAGAAGAACACGUAUGAGAGUAACUGUUCAUACGUUGACGGUAUUUAACCAGAAAGUCACGGCUAACUACGUGCCAGCAGCCGCGGUAAUACGUAGGUGGCAAGCGUUAUCCGGAUUUAUUGGGCGUAAAGAGAGUGCAGGCGGUUUUCUAAGUCUGAUGUGAAAGCCUUCGGCUUAACCGGAGAAGUGCAUCGGAAACUGGAUAACUUGAGUGCAGAAGAGGGUAGUGGAACUCCAUGUGUAGCGGUGGAAUGCGUAGAUAUAUGGAAGAACACCAGUGGCGAAGGCGGCUACCUGGUCUGCAACUGACGCUGAGACUCGAAAGCAUGGGUAGCGAACAGGAUUAGAUACCCUGGUAGGAUA
This 470-nucleotide ribosomal RNA is filed under the name uncultured bacterium. RNAcentral's name for it is "bacterial SSU rRNA". It matches the Rfam family "Bacterial small subunit ribosomal RNA", at positions 335 to 797 of the family's 1533-position model. The record is from RNAcentral.